Molecule: transfer RNA, 88 nt
Filed under: Hypholoma sublateritium FD-334 SS-4
Lineage: Eukaryota; Fungi; Basidiomycota; Agaricomycetes; Agaricales; Strophariaceae
Rfam family: tRNA
About the family: Transfer RNA (tRNA) molecules are approximately 80 nucleotides in length. Their secondary structure includes four short double-helical elements and three loops (D, anti-codon, and T loops).
Source: Rfam by way of RNAcentral
GGGCACAUGGUGUAGUUGGUUAUCACGCUCGCUUAGCACUCAUUGAGGCGUUUGCGAGAGGUGUUGGGUUCAAUUCCCAAUGCGUCCA